This 292-nucleotide ribosomal RNA is filed under the name uncultured bacterium. Its description in RNAcentral is "partial 16S ribosomal RNA". It matches the Rfam family "Bacterial small subunit ribosomal RNA", at positions 505 to 796 of the family's 1533-position model. The record is from RNAcentral.
GUGUCAGCCGCCGCGGUAAUACGUAGGGUGCAAGCGUUGUCCGGAAUUAUUGGGCGUAAAGGGCUCGUAGGCGGUCCGUCACGUCGGCUGUGAAAACCCGGGGCUCAACCCCGGGCCUGCAGUCGAUACGGGCGGACUAGAGUUCGGCAGGGGAGACUGGAAUUCCUGGUGUAGCGGUGAAAUGCGCAGAUAUCAGGAGGAACACCGGUGGCGAAGGCGGGUCUCUGGGCCGAUACUGACGCUGAGGAGCGAAAGCGUGGGGAGCGAACAGGAUUAGAUACCCUGGUAGUCC